RNAcentral lists this ribosomal RNA (465 nucleotides) under uncultured bacterium. RNAcentral's name for it is "partial 16S ribosomal RNA". It matches the Rfam family "Bacterial small subunit ribosomal RNA", at positions 28 to 507 of the family's 1533-position model. The record is from RNAcentral.
GACGAACGCUGGCGGCGUGCUUAACACAUGCAAGUCGAACGGAAAGGCCCCUUCGGGGGUACUCGAGUGGCGAACGGGUGAGUAACACGUGAGUAACCUGCCCUUGACUUCGGGAUAACUUCAGGAAACUGGGGCUAAUACCGGAUAGGAAUCCUUGCUGCAUGGUGGGGGUUGGAAAGCUUCGGCGGUUUUGGAUGGACUCGCGGCUUAUCAGCUUGUUGGUGGGGUAGUGGCUUACCAAGGCUUUGACGGGUAGCCGGCCUGAGAGGGCGACCGGCCACAUUGGGACUGAGAUACGGCCCAGACUCCUACGGGAGGCAGCAGUGGGGAAUAUUGCACAAUGGGCGGAAGCCUGAUGCAGCAACGCCGCGUGCGGGAUGACGGCCUUCGGGUUGUAAACCGCGUUUAGCAGGGGCGAAGCUUGUGGUGACGGUACCUGCAGAAGAAGCACCGGCUAACUACGUG